AUUGAACGCUGGCGGAAUGCUUUACACAUGCAAGUCGAACGGCAGCACGGGGCAACCUGGUGGCGAGUGGCGAACGGGUGAGUAAUACAUCGGAACGUGCCCAAUCGUGGGGGAUAACGUAGCGAAAGUUACGCUAAUACCGCAUACGAUCUACGGAUGAAAGCGGGGGAUCGCAAGACCUCGCGCGAAUGGAGCGGCCGAUGUCAGAUCAGGUAGUUGGUGGGGUAAAGGCUCACCAAGCCAACGAUCUGUAGCUGGUCUGAGAGGAUGAUCCGCCACACUGGAACUGAGACACGGUCCAGACUCCUACGGGAGGCAGCAGUGGGGAAUUUUGGACAAUGGGCGCAAGCCUGAUCCAGCCAUGCCGCGUGAGUGAAGAAGGCCUCGG
Molecule: ribosomal RNA, 388 nt
Filed under: uncultured bacterium
Lineage: Bacteria
Description: bacterial SSU rRNA
Rfam family: Bacterial small subunit ribosomal RNA
Source: RNAcentral